UCUUCUGAGUGGCCUUAUGGGGAGCUUGGAGCCUACAACAUCUUUACUGGGCCAAAGAGCACCCUCUCCUCCCUUGUCACAGGUGUUUCAAACUCGAGCAGCCUCAGCUGACUACCUUCGCCCAAGAAUACCAUCACCAAUUGGUUUCACACCAGGACCACAGCAGCUACUCGGAGAUCCAUUCCAAGGCAUGCGCAAACCCAUGAGCCCCAUCACGGCCCAGCAGAUGAGCCAGCUGGAGUUGCAACAGGCAGCUUUAGAAGGGCUGGCCUUGCCACAUGACCUUGCUGUACAGGCAGCAAACUUCUACCAGCCUGGUUUUGGCAAACCACAGGUGGACAGAACCAGAGAUGGAUUCAGAAACAGGCAACAGCGAGUGACCAAGUCACCAGCACCAGUGCAUCGAGGGAAUUCCUCUUCCCCUGCCCCUGCUGCCUCCAUCACAAGCAUGGUCAGUGACCUUUAGUAACUGUGAAGGACUUUAAGGCUUCUCCCUGUUUGUGCGUGGGUUGUACCACUGUGUGCCCUAAAUGUCCUUGAGUUCCUUCCACGGAAAUAACUGACCUAGUAGUCUUUCAUACCUAUUAGGUCUUUCCCUUUUAGGACACAGU
This 611-nucleotide small RNA is filed under the name Pongo abelii (Sumatran orangutan). Its description in RNAcentral is "retained intron". Lineage: Eukaryota; Metazoa; Chordata; Mammalia; Primates; Hominidae. The record is from RNAcentral.